RNAcentral lists this ribosomal RNA (305 nucleotides) under uncultured bacterium. RNAcentral's name for it is "bacterial SSU rRNA". It matches the Rfam family "Bacterial small subunit ribosomal RNA", at positions 335 to 656 of the family's 1533-position model. The record is from RNAcentral.
UUUCCUACGGGAGGCAGCAGUGGGGAAUAUUGCACAAUGGGGGAAACCCUGAUGCAGCAACGCCGCGUGGGUGAAGGAGCGUUUCGGCGCGUAAAGCCCUGUCAGCGGGGAAGAAGAAAGACGGUACCCGACCAAGAAGCCCCGGCUAACUACGUGCCAGCAGCCGCGGUAACACGUAGGGGGCGAGCGUUAUCCGGAAUUAUUGGGUUUAAAGGGGGCGCAGACGGCAAUGCAAGCCAGGAGUGAAAGCCCGGGGCCCAACCCCGGGACUGCUCUUGGAACCGCAUGGCCGGAGUACAGGAGGG